GUUGACUCCUUAGUGGAAGCCAGUGUUGAGCUCUGAGUUCCAACGGUGCUGUUGGUUGACAUUAUUCCCUUCAUUUAAAAUGGGAAGAUUAUUUUGAUAGAGAUUAUGCUUUUCGAUCUCAAGGCAGAAAAAUAGCGCGGAUCUCCUGUCCCUAGUACUUUGCAUGAGUGGGGCUUGGCACCUCUUUGGUUACCAAGCAGGAGAAGCGUUGGAAUACUGUGCUGCAGUGCCUUGCAUUAUACAGUAUUUAUCACAGACCUGCCCUUCCGUGCUCAGUCUGCCGAAAGCACCCCUAUUCACCGGAAGAUCUGUUUGUAAAGAGCUGGGCUUCUGCACAAGCAUGUUUCUGAGGAGGCAGGCAGAUUUUUUUGCUCAGGCAGCAAAUGAGUACAGGAACAUGUUUUUGCUGAUUUAUCGUGUGACCUUGGCCAGUUCACAGCAUAGUUGGUGUCUACUUAUUUCUCCUUUGAAGUGUGGCUGACGGUAUACUUGCAACGAAGGAUAAGUUGACAUUUUGAUCCAGGAAUCAGUAAAUUCCCAAAGGAUGUCUU
RNAcentral lists this long non-coding RNA (551 nucleotides) under Rattus norvegicus (Norway rat). Its description in RNAcentral is "long non-coding RNA NONRATT008881". The record is from RNAcentral. Lineage: Eukaryota; Metazoa; Chordata; Mammalia; Rodentia; Muridae.